RNAcentral lists this transfer-messenger RNA (415 nucleotides) under Burkholderia vietnamiensis. It matches the Rfam family "transfer-messenger RNA", at positions 51 to 374 of the family's 374-position model. Rfam says of the family: Bacterial tmRNA, also known as 10Sa RNA or SsrA, is named for its dual tRNA and mRNA-like properties. Its role is to liberate the mRNA from a stalled ribosome. The record is from RNAcentral. Lineage: Bacteria; Pseudomonadati; Pseudomonadota; Betaproteobacteria; Burkholderiales; Burkholderiaceae.
UGAGGCGCCCCUGCGGGGCUUGCCCAACGUAUAAAUAUGCCGAAGCUCACCCACAGUUGCCACAGCGGACCUAACAAUUAGGACGCUGUGUAACUGCCCCGUGAGAAAGUAUGGAUAUUUAAUACGGGGGUGGUUCAAACGACGAUACGUUCGCACUGGCAGCCUAACGGCCGCCGUCCUCUGCCUAGUUCACUGACGGGCUAGUGUCGCAAGACCGGUAGCAAUACCGACAGAGGUCAUAUACGUCAGUUAAGCCUUGGCGGCGUCGCGACGUCCGGGUCGAAAACUUAGCGAAUCGCCGUAGUGCAGCGUGUUCGUCCGCGUCGCUGCGGUUAAAUCAAAUGACUGAACUAAACAUGUAGAACUAGUCGUGGAGCGCUUCUGGACGCGGGUUCGAUUCCCGCCGCCUCCACCA